This 495-nucleotide ribosomal RNA is filed under the name uncultured bacterium. Its description in RNAcentral is "partial 16S ribosomal RNA". It matches the Rfam family "Bacterial small subunit ribosomal RNA", at positions 28 to 507 of the family's 1533-position model. The record is from RNAcentral.
GAUGAACGCUGGCGGCGUGCCUAAUACAUGCAAGUAGAACGCUGAAGGAGGAGCUUGCUCUUCUGGAUGAGUUGCGAACGGGUGAGUAACGCGUAGGUAACCUGCCUGGUAGCGGGGGAUAACUAUUGGAAACGAUAGCUAAUACCGCAUGACAACAGUUAUUGCAUGAUAACUGUUUAAAAGGGGCAACUGCUCCACUACCAGAUGGACCUGCGUUGUAUUAGCUAGUUGGUGAGGUAACGGCUCACCAAGGCGACGAUACAUAGCCGACCUGAGAGGGUGAUCGGCCACACUGGGACUGAGACACGGCCCAGACUCCUACGGGAGGCAGCAGUAGGGAAUCUUCGGCAAUGGACGGAAGUCUGACCGAGCAACGCCGCGUGAGUGAAGAAGGUUUUCGGAUCGUAAAGCUCUGUUGUAAGAGAAGAACGAGUGUGAGAGUGGAAAGUUCACUCUGUGACGGUAUCUUACCAGAAAGGGACGGCUAACUACGUG